This 5100-nucleotide long non-coding RNA is filed under the name Podarcis lilfordi (Lilford's wall lizard). Lineage: Eukaryota; Metazoa; Chordata; Lepidosauria; Squamata; Lacertidae. The record is from RNAcentral.
CACUUCAAAUUCCUUUCCACAAGCCAGCCCUGAAAAAGGAUAUAUUAGAGCCCAUCUUUGUGCUCAAUUCAUCCACCACUGAGAUGCUACUUCUAUUCUCUAACAUGAACAUAUCAUGUAUGUGUCCAUAAAUUAUCAAUAAUGGAGGCGGGGAAUCAGCCUGGUAUUAACAGCUAACAACGUUAUUGCAACUAUUUUUGGACAAUGUUACAUGCUCCAGUAUUAUAUUUAUUUUGAGAGAGGUUAAAAAGAAAACGGUCAAUCAAAACUUUCUUCUACUCCGAACUAGUACAGUAGGGUGCCUCCAGGAGGUGUAAAAAUAUUGAUGUAGUUCACACUAUGGGGGGAAAGUACAUUCACAAUUAGCAGUAUCCCUGAAGCCAAUUUCCCGCACUGUUGGAUGUCCUUUCUCCAAUGCUACAUGGGGUCUAAUUUUAAGAACAUACAAGAAUUUAUCAGAAGUUUUCUAUGGGUCAAAAGAAAGAGAGUUGCUUUUAAUAAGAACCAAAGCUUUUCUUCUCGGAGAGUAAUGAGACCUUUUGAUAUUUGCAUUUUCUUUAAUUUGCUCUGAGCUUUGUUUCGGAAGCAGAAGGAGAGGGGGAAUCCUUGCAUUUCAUGUAUACCCCCACUCCAAAGUUAUGCAUUUGUAGAUACAUUUUCUCUAAUAAUAUUGAUUCUACACACACACACACACUCUUUUCGAGGGUUCUUUUUUGGCGAACUGCAUUGCAAAAUUAAGAGAAGUGCAAAUUUCAAAAGAUAGGCCUGUUUCUGUUCAUGAAUUAUUCUGGGGGUGUUCUAGAUAGGUUGUUUCAUGCGAAAAUGUGACCUAAACCAGAUUUCCUUCCUAUAUCUGGCUUGCUGUGAUCCAUACGUGGGCUGCAUUUAACUUUGUAGAUGACAAGUUGUGUGGGCCCAUUCCAAACAGCUGGACCACACAAGUAGUUUGAUUGUACACAAUAAAAGCAAUACUUUUAAGAGAGCAGCAAAGCACACAGAACAUUCCUCCCUAAUCCCUCCAAGGCUUUCUGAACUUACUGUUUAAAAAGUGUGAUGCAAAUAGGAUAAUCUUUGACAUUUUGCUUCUGUCAUUAGAAAGUAUUGAUUUUAUGACAUUUUCCGCCUCUUAUUAUGUGACAACAGGAACCCUGGCUUCAGAAUGCUAAUAUCCAGUGAUAUCCAGGGACCACUUAAAUUCAUUUCAGCUGUGCUGAGUUGUGUGCAGCAAUCACACCAAGGAAUCCCUAUGGAUAACACUGUAGUUAGCAGAUAAACAGCAAUUUGGUGAGCUCUUGAUGAAAAUAAACACACUCGCACAUAUGAACCAUACAAUAUCUUAAUCAAGUAUUCAGAAGAACAUGUGAGUGCUUAAACUGGGGAGAAAGAGUAGGCGUCUCCUUGCACACAGUGGGCACAUCUGCUUCCUAUCCAACCUUCCUACAAUGUUUGAAGGGACCUUGUAAACACAAUUAUUUGCAUGUGCUUAAAAGCCGCCUCCUCGUGGUAAGUAAGAGUUCCUGUUCACAGAGAGACUUUAAAUAUACUCAGAUAUGAUUGCAAGGCCCAUCGGUACCUUCCUUGUGGGGAGGCUGCCUCUUGUGCUACCGUAUUUUUCUGUGUAUAAAACGAUAUUUCCCCCCAAAUUUUUUAAGUUUAAAAUUGGGGGUCGUCUUAGACACGGAAUGUUGCAAUUAAAUAUAUAAAUAAAUGCAUGCUGCCAUUCACAUACUUUCCCCCCAGCCUCCCCUCACUAUUGGCCUCACGACAAACCCUGGUCAGGUACUCCCCACCCACCCAGCAGCCCCCACUCCGGACAUUGUCCCUUCCACCUAGUUCCCUCAGCCGCCCCCUGGCUACCCAGACUCCCCCCCCCAUUCCCCAAGCGCACUCGCUCUGGCCGUCGCAACUCCCUGAUCAGUGUUCACAUCUGCCUGCGCUCGUGGUGUAAGUACGGUACAUACCGUAAAUACUGAGACAAAAGUGCAACACACAGGCAGGACAGCUGGAACUGCAGCUAUAGUGGAGUUACACUGAGCUGAUAGGAGCAGCCGCCAUUACACAGCUUGCCUCCCUGUUUGAUCUUUAAAUAUAUGGUACUAAAUAUACCAGUGUUUUGAAUAUUUAAUAAAAUAUCGAAGUUCUGUUUGGUGUUUAAAAUAUUUAUUUCUUAAUGUUGGGCUCAAAAAAAUAGGGGUCGUCUUAUACAUGGGGGCAUCUUAUACACGGAAAAAUGCAGUUUUCAUUCUUGCUUUUUGAAGUGAAGUAUUUAUGCUGUUAAAGAAAUCAGUGAGUAAAUGUAUUUUUGAAAAAGGUAAAAGGAAUGAUGCCCCUUAACAACAAAACCAGCAAGCAUGCCAUCCUCAGCUGCUUGGUAGCCAGCCUCUUCACUUGCCCCUGCUUCAAUUAAAACUUAAGGUAAGAUGUCAUGAAGUAAACCUCUACAUGGGCCUUUUUUGGGAUCAGGAAGCACAGGCAGCCAGGGAGGCUGCAGAGGGCAGAAAAAAAUGUUUCAUUAUCAAAUCAAAGGCAAUUCUAAUGCACCCUGAGGAGGCUGGGAAGUCACUUUCACAAGGGAGGAAACUGGAAAAAAUUGGACGACAGAAUUAAUCACAGAAUUAGCUACUCCUCACCUGCAGUCUGGCACUUGUCCAUUCCAGCUCUCUAAUACUCUGGUUUUAUCUCAUUACAACAUCUGUGUAGAUACAACCCCAGAGAUCACUAAUUUUUGCCUUUAUAGCAUAUGGCUUUGACAGAAUUUUUUACAGGAACAUAUUUGCCUUACCACAUAUAGUAAGCAGAAAAAUCUUAUCAGACUUCCCGGGGAUGGGAGGUAAGAUGUGUGGUGGCUGAUGCUGGCCGGUCAGCAGAGACCUUGCGUCACCCUAUAAAAGGAUGGUGCCACCCAAAAUUGGCUUCUUUGCUUCAGUGUGGCAGCUCACCCAUCCCCCUUUCAAUUAACUAGUGUCCCUUACAAGGGCAGUUGAAUUUGAUUUUAACUGACUGUUGGAGUACCUUCUUCUCAUGAAGAAGCUGAUCUGCAUGGAUCUCUUUUCAAAUGCCAAUCUUGUCCUUUGAUCUCAGGGCGAAGGAAGUUAUUCCCCUCCCCCAUCCCAAUUCUCAAAUUUAUGUACAAUCUCAAAUAUAUACAGUGUUCUGUGUAUUCUAUAUGUUCUGCUUUCUACUGGUAAACACAGAACUUUGACUCUCAGCUCAAUUAUUCCCAAAGGCACUACUCAAAAAAAAUCACUACAUGGCUUAAGCAUAGAUCGGGUUACAGGUUACACAGUUAAGGAGUCAAACUAGAGCUCUAAAGUUACAUGGCUGGACAUAAGCAAAUACCUGAUAUGCCACAUUUUCCCCUCAUUUAGAAGAGUGGGGCAGUCAUUCAUGCAUUUCAUGAGUGACAGGGCUAGGAAAGCAAGCAUGUAGGUUGGGUCUGCUUGCACCUGUACCAUCCAUGCCUGAAAGUGGACGUGGGGUCUGCUUAGGCUGUUUAUCUGAUGCAGGCUGAAAGAUCAUGCUAGUAAAAGAUGGGGUGGGAGCUGAUUCAGGUGACUUUCCUGCCAGGACAUCUUGCAUAGGCAGAGGGGGAGAAUGUUUCCUAGGGAACUACUCAGCCCCUCCCCAACAUCAGUCUCAGUGAUCUUAGUAGUAUAGUGGUAUCUCUGGAUAUGCACACCUCCAGUUGCGUAUCAAUCAGGAUGAGAACGUGGCAAACUCAGAAGUAUUUUUCUGGGUUUUGCCAUGCGUGCAUGCUCAGAAGCUGUCCCUCUGGUUCCAGAAACCUUGGGAGCUCCAGAACGGAUCCCAUCUGCAACUGGAGGUACCACUGUACCUGCCCGCUCCCCAGCAUUCAACUCAGCACUCUCCUCCCAUCCCUGCUUGCAGAGGGCUCAUGGCAAAAAUCAUUAUAAACAUUUAGGGCCAGCCCAAGACAUUUUGGCAUCUGAAGUGAACCACAAAAUGGUAUAUCCCCUGGCAAGGCAACAAGGGGGUGAAUGAAGACCUACAUCAGGAACACGUUUGGGGGGCGUAAAAUCAACCUUACCCACUGGUUGAAGUGGGAAUCAAAGGUCAUUGUGGGAGGGAAGGGCUCCACUCUGAAUCAUGCCAGGUUGGUGCAUAGCCUAAGAGACUCCAGAGGGCACCAACCACUAUUUCCUCCCUAGGGGUAGGAGCAGACCAACAUCACCUUCUAUUUGCCAGGAGGCCACUGUAGAGGCAUUAUUUGGAGGGUGGGGGCAGCAGAUCCAGCCUCCAAGGAGUGUGUUACAACUGUUGUUGCUUCUGCAGAAGCAGCAGCAGUAGACAAUGCAUUCCCUGGAGGCCAGAUUUUAUGACUGUGGAUCUUUCCUAGUCUGCAUCUGCACUUGCCUUGAUUGUAGUUGUUCAUAGAAGGGUAGGGUAUAAAUCAAUAAUGAUACUGAUAACAUUCCCAUGAGUAUCAGUAUAUAAAUGUUGGUCUUCAGCUAGUGAGUUGAGUCCCAUCAUGGCCUGAUCUAAGGAGGGCCUCAAGAGAAGUACUGCCACCAUACAUAGAUGGUAAAAAUAAUAGCAAUAUUAAUGAGAAAUACGUGCCCAAAUACAUGUCUGGGUUAAAGGUGAGUCUUGGUCUGCAGGAUUUGAAGACUCCUGUCCCAAAGCAACCAACACAAGAAGGGAUACAGGUAGCAAUGCGUAUGCCUGUAUAAAAUAUUUGUAUGAAUAGAAAACUGUGCUACAGAAAUAUGCCUCAUGGGCUUUGGCUUUCAUAUGCAUUAUACAUGUUAUAUAUGUAUUUCUUGCUUGUAAUUUUACACACCAUCACUUGGACAAUCAAUCAAUCAAUCAAUCAAUCAUUCAAUCAAUGAGUCACUCUAACAUAACAAGGCACUUGAUGUGAGCAAAACUCAGCUGGUCAAAGUCACAAAAUUCUGUGUAGAAAGUAUUUAAAAAUUGAUUCCUUCUUGAUUCCUACCUUACACAUUUCAUACACAGUUUCUAAGGGUUAAGCUUUCCCUAGUUUGGAAAAACACACACAGGGGAAAUACUCGCUAAACUUUGAAAAGUAUUUUUUACAACCUGUCAAGAGUGUUAAAUUCUACCAUAAUCUGAUUUUUU